AUGAUUCCCUCAGUAACGGCGAGUGAACAGGGAAAAGCUCAAAGUUGGAACCUCCUGGCCCUAGGUCUGGCGGAUUGUAAACUAAAGCUCUCGAGUAGUUCGGCUAGCCUGGUAAAAAAGUUCUCUGGAAAGGGACGACAUGGAGGGUGAAAUCCCCGUCUUUGGCCAGAGCAUAGUCCAACGUUUGCUUGGAAGUGAAGAGUCAGGUUGUUUGGUAUUGCAGCCUAAAGCUGGAGGUAAAUCUCUCCUAAAGCUAAAUAUUGACGAAAGACCGAUAGCGAACAAGUACCGUGAGGGAAAGAUGAAAAGCACUUUGAAAAGAGGGUCAAAAAGUACGUGAAAUUGCUGAAAGGGAACCGUAUGAAAUCAGCCUGUCUCUUUGGUAAUCAACCUGGAAUUCGUUCUGGGUGCACUUGCCGGUGAGUCAGCCUGCGACAAUUUGACUUGGGGGAAAAAAUCGGGGGGAAUGUGGCCUCGGCUUCGGUCGUGGUGUUAUAGCCCUUUGAAAAAUACCCUGGGUUGGAUUGAGGACUGCAGCGAGCCUUUGGGAUGAACUGKGGGUGCUUGGCUUUGCCUUGAAAGAAAUUUCUGCUUCGGGUGGUGUCUUUUUCGGCGGGGUCAACUCGCCUACUUUUUCUUUUU
This 642-nucleotide ribosomal RNA is filed under the name Absidia cylindrospora. RNAcentral's name for it is "partial 28S ribosomal RNA". The record is from RNAcentral. Lineage: Eukaryota; Fungi; Mucoromycota; Mucoromycetes; Mucorales; Cunninghamellaceae.